Molecule: small nucleolar RNA, 138 nt
Organism: Ornithorhynchus anatinus (platypus)
Lineage: Eukaryota; Metazoa; Chordata; Mammalia; Monotremata; Ornithorhynchidae
Source: RefSeq, a predicted model, not a curated record
CUUCUCUCAGGAUCGCACCUGGAGGGUUUCCAGUACUCUCUCAGUCUCGGCUGUGGGAAGGAGAGUCAAGCAGAGGCACAUCCAUUCCAUUCCUAGCUUGGGCAGUGGCUAGCGAGUGGAAGGCAAUCUGCUACAAGU